RNAcentral lists this ribosomal RNA (587 nucleotides) under uncultured bacterium. RNAcentral's name for it is "bacterial SSU rRNA". It matches the Rfam family "Bacterial small subunit ribosomal RNA", at positions 200 to 807 of the family's 1533-position model. The record is from RNAcentral.
UGAAAAACUCCGGUGGUAUGGGAUGGACCCGCGUCUGAUUAGGCAGUUGGCGGGGUAACGGCCCACCAAACCGACGAUCAGUAGCCGGCCUGAGAGGGCGACCGGCCACAUUGGGACUGAGACACGGCCCAAACUCCUACGGGAGGCAGCAGUGGGGAAUAUUGCACAAUGGGGGAAACCCUGAUGCAGCGACGCCGCGUGAGCGAAGAAGUAUUUCGGUAUGUAAAGCUCUAUCAGCAGGGAAGAUAAUGACGGUACCUGACUAAGAAGCCCCGGCUAACUACGUGCCAGCAGCCGCGGUAAUACGUAGGGGGCAAGCGUUAUCCGGAUUUACUGGGUGUAAAGGGAGCGUAGACGGCAAGGCAAGUCUGAUGUGAAAACCCAGGGCUUAACCCUGGGACUGCAUUGGAAACUGUCUGGCUCGAGUGCCGGAGAGGUAAGCGGAAUUCCUAGUGUAGCGGUGAAAUGCGUAGAUAUUAGGAAGAACACCAGUGGCGAAGGCGGCUUACUGGACGGUAACUGACGUUGAGGCUCGAAAGCGUGGGGAGCAAACAGGAUUAGAUACCCUGGUAGUCCACGCCGUAAAC